UAGAAUCACCUUUUGAAAUUGAAGAUUGUAUUCUCUUGAAAAGAGAAAUGAUCUCUUCCUGGUUCAAUGAAUUUGGCAAUUUACUGUCGGGGGAUGGCUGUAUAUUGAGCUCACUACCUUUGGAUGUUUUCCCUGGUGUAGCAUCUUUUGAAGACUUUCGUCGCCUGAUCCCAUCAGCUCUUAUGGUGGAGAGAGUUGAACAAUGAAAAUCCCUACGAUUUGUACUCAACGAAAGCCCAUAUGUAAUCUCUUUUGGUAUUCGGAUCCCCAAGUUGGGUUUACAUAAAGCAGAGAAGGAGGGCAAUUGAGAUAUGGAAUUUGAAGAGAAA
Molecule: unclassified non-coding RNA, 329 nt
Filed under: Hevea brasiliensis (rubber tree)
Lineage: Eukaryota; Viridiplantae; Streptophyta; Magnoliopsida; Malpighiales; Euphorbiaceae
Source: RNAcentral